CUGGUGCCAGCAGCCGCGGUAAUUCCAGCUCCAAUAGCGUAUAUUAAAGUUGUUGCAGUUAAAAAGCUCGUAGUUGAAUUUCGGGAUUGGCGCAUCGGUCGUGCCUCACGGGGUAUGAACUGGUGCAGUCAAUUUCUCACCUUCUGGAGAACCGCGAUGUCCUUAAUUGGAUGCCGUGGGGAACCAGGACCUUUACUUUGAAAAAAUUAGAGUGUUUAAAGCAGGCAUUUUUGCUUGAAUACAUUAGCAUGGAAUAAUAAAAUAGGACGGCAUGGUUCUAUUUUGUUGGUUUCUAGGACCACCGUAAUGAUUAAUAGGGAUAGUUGGGGGCAUUAGUAUUCAAUUGUCAGAGGUGAAAUUCUUGGAUUUAUUGAAGACUAACUACUGCGAAAGCAUUUGCCAAGGAUGUUUUCAUUAAUCAAGAACGAAAGUUAGGGGAUCGAAGACGAUCAGAUACCGUCGUAGUCUUAACCAUAAACU
RNAcentral lists this ribosomal RNA (480 nucleotides) under uncultured Glomus. Its description in RNAcentral is "SSU rRNA". It matches the Rfam family "Eukaryotic small subunit ribosomal RNA", at positions 561 to 1038 of the family's 1831-position model. Lineage: Eukaryota; Fungi; Glomeromycota; Glomeromycetes; Glomerales; Glomeraceae. The record is from RNAcentral.